This 23-nucleotide non-coding RNA is filed under the name Arabidopsis thaliana (thale cress). Lineage: Eukaryota; Viridiplantae; Streptophyta; Magnoliopsida; Brassicales; Brassicaceae. The record is from RNAcentral.
CAUAACCGCAUCAGGUCUCCAAG